CCUACGGGAGGCAGCAGUAGGGAAUAUUGCUCAAUGGGGGAAACCCUGAAGCAGCAACGCCGCGUGGAGGAUGAAGGUUUUCGGAUUGUAAACUCCUUUUGUUAGAGAAGAUAAUGACGGUAUCUCACGAAUAAGCACCGGCUAACUCCGUGCCAGCAGCCGCGGUAAUACGGAGGGUGCAAGCGUUACUCGGAAGCACUGGGCGUAAAGAGCGCGUAGGCGGGAUAGCAAGUCAGAUGUGAAAUCCUAUGGCUAAACCAUCGCACUGCAUUUGAAACUGUUAUUCUAGAGUAUGGGAGAGGUAGGUGGAAUUCUUGGUGUAGGGGUAAAAUGCGUAGAGAUCAAGAGGAAUACUCAUGGCGAAGGCGAUCUGCUAGAACAUAACUGACGCUGAUGCGCGAAAGCGUGGGUAUCGAACAGGAUUAGAUACCCGUGUAGUC
RNAcentral lists this ribosomal RNA (440 nucleotides) under uncultured bacterium. Its description in RNAcentral is "partial 16S ribosomal RNA". It matches the Rfam family "Bacterial small subunit ribosomal RNA", at positions 338 to 795 of the family's 1533-position model. The record is from RNAcentral.